Molecule: long non-coding RNA, 536 nt
Organism: Drosophila pseudoobscura
Lineage: Eukaryota; Metazoa; Arthropoda; Insecta; Diptera; Drosophilidae
Exons: 3
Source: RefSeq, a predicted model, not a curated record
UAUCUACCAUGGAGUUAUUGUGUUUAAUUAGUCUUUCAUGUGAUGACGGGUUCGAAACUAAGUGGUUUCUCGUCGUUGAAUAAACGUGGAUGUUUUGGCAAAUAUCAGCAUCACUGAAAUAUACAUACAUAGGUCCCAAUUGCUAAUGAAUUUUCUUCUGGAAAACGAACUGUAACUAAGAGAGCGUGCGAGUGAUUUAAGGGGACUGGGGAGAUCUGGACUAGCGCACUCGACUCAAAUAUUAUUGCCCUCGAUCACCGCUGGAAAUAUUUUGUUUUCAUUAUACUGAUAAGAACAGAUCAUUUGUUGUGGAAUCUCGGCGACGACAACAUGUACAACAUGAAAAUUUCUCUCCUGACCGUUCUGGCACUGAUGCUGGCUGUCUGGACUGGCGCUGUAGCUGGAGGCGGGUAAUCCAAGUAUCCCGUGACAAUGCUGUGCAUAUUGGAUCCCAAUCAGGGCUAAUAACCGUGAACAGCCCAAUCUCUAUGUCUUCUCCUGUGUCUGUCUUGAAUAAAGUUGAAACGUGGCACUUA